AUGGCAUUCAAGCAGGUUUUCUGCGCCCUGCGAGAGGUCUUCCCGCAGGUUGAUCUUCGAAUAUUGAAGGCUGUAGCCAGUCAGUAUUCCUCUGAUGUCGAUGCAGCUGUUGGAUUUGUUCUUUCUGAUGUCAUUCCAGCAGUAAGCGAACCUACUGAAACAGUUUUUACACUCCAAGAUAUUGAUUAUGCAGAACACGACCAUACUGAUUCCAGGAAGUCUAACUUGCACUUUGGAGGGAUAUCAUUGGUGGAUCUAGUAGGAGCUAAAGAGGAUGCCAGUGCCCUAUUCGGUACGUCAGCUGAGAGCAGUGGCACUGUUGGUGAAUGUGAUCCAUUUUCAGAUUAUGAUGGACCAUUCCAGAGUAACAACAAAGUAGAAAAAUGUUCCCAGAUCGAGGAUAAGGUGGUGAUAAAUGAAACAAGAAUUCCUACAACAGUAAUGAACAGCCUUCUCCAGGAGCAUUAUGCUCUGCUUGGAUCGUCAUCGACAUCUGCAACGGAGCCACAUAUGAUAGAGUAUGAGCAGUCUGAUUCAGGAGGAUGUAAUGAUCAUUGUGCAGCUGAAAAAGAUGAAGUGACUCCAGAGACUGAAAUAGGCAACCACAAGCAUUAUAAUGAUAAUUAUGAGCUAUCAGAUUUGCUUGCCUCUUCUGGGAAUAUGUUGCCAUUAUUUAUGGAGAGCCCUUCAGAUUGUGCAGUGAAACAUGGAGGGCAAGUGCCUCUGAAACUUUCUCAUGAGGCAAGUAAACAUGAUUUCGCCAAGUCAGGAGAUAACUGUUACUUGGAAACCUUACUUGCGAAUUUUCACUCAAAGGAAGACAAACAGACAUCAAAGAACUUGCCAAAUGCUCCAACUGUUCAUACGCUCUCCAACCCAAAGGAUAAGAAUGACUUACAAGUUCUGUUUGAAAACAAAGAUAAUGCUGGAGAAGAGUUGGGUGCACUCUGUACUGCAGAAAAUACCCCUGAACUCCACAAGUCAGCAAAUGAUGGCAACUUCUACAAUUUAUUUGGCGAUCUAUGCACAGUUGACGAGACAACAAAAGUACCUUUGAAUUUUACUGAGGAGAAAAAUGAGCAGCCUUUUGUUAAGCUAGACGAUCAACACAAACUAUUUGAGUUAUUUGCCUCAUCCAAAAUCGUCGAUAAUUCAUUACAAGCCUUUCAAGAAAAGGGUGGUUCCGAGACAGUUCAUAAUGAGGAGCUACCUUCAAUACAUCUCAAUUUCAAUCAUCGUGGAACAUUUACUAAUAAAAGUGAGGGAUUUCUCGAUAACUCCACUCAGUCAUUUCAUAUCACUGAAAUAAACAAGAAUAUUUCUGAUAUCACUAAAAGCAAGGAAUUAUUGAGCUGUUUGUAUGAAUCAACAAUCAUGAAGAUGGAAGAGGUUGAGCUUCAGGAGGAAAAGUCUCGACUAGCAAAACAAAAUGCUGACAAGGCACAUCAAAAUUUUCUUGCCAUGGCAGAGCACUUUAAUCAGCUCAUUGAGAAUUCCAAAGAGUCAAAUGAUAAGCAAGCUCAAGUAGUGUGCGAAGAAAAUUGUUCGUUGGUGGCUCUAACUCAGGACCUUCAGUCUAAGCUUACCAAAUUGGCUGCUCAAAGAAAUGAAGCGCUUACAGCUGUUCAGGAGAUUAAAUUUCAAUUAGAUGCACGUCUAGCAACUUCGAUGGAGGAAGAGGCUACAGCAAUGGAGCAAAUUAUCCAAGAAGAUAAAUUAGCUCUAUUGGUACGUAAAGAGAAGGAAGCUACAAUGGGGAGCAUAAUGGAGGAGUCAAGAAAGCUCCAAAAGGAAGCCGAAGAGAACAUUUUGCUGAGAGAACAAUUGUUGGACCGGGGUCACAUCAUUGAUAUCAUGCAAGGAGAAAUAUCAAGCAUCCACGCCCGUGUAAGCAAGCUUAAAUCAGCCUUGGUGACAACUAGCAGCUCAACUAAUUCUUCCGACAAGGAUGACUGUAAGAGUGCGUCAGUUGACACAGACCGGCCUUUGGGGAACGAUGAUAACAGAAAUGAUCUGCCGCAGAGGAGCCAUGCUAAGGACCAUACCACAUCUUCGGAUGAUGACGACGAUGACGACGAAUGGGAGGUGCUAGAAGCAAAUUAA
RNAcentral lists this ribosomal RNA (2103 nucleotides) under Triticum aestivum (bread wheat). RNAcentral describes it as "partial small subunit ribosomal RNA". Lineage: Eukaryota; Viridiplantae; Streptophyta; Magnoliopsida; Poales; Poaceae. The record is from RNAcentral.